UACGUAGGGUGCGAGCGUUGUCCGGAAUUACUGGGCGUAAAGAGCUCGUAGGUGGUUUGUCGCGUUGUCCGUGAAAACUCACAACUCAAUUGUGGGCGUGCGGGCGAUAUGAGCAAACUAGAGUGUUGCAGGGGAGACUGGAAUUCCUGGUGUAGCGGUGAAAUGCGCAGAUAUCAGGAAGAACACCCGUGGCGCAAGCGACCGCCUGGCCGAGGGCUGACACUGAGGCACGAGAGCGUGGGGAGCGAACCGG
Molecule: ribosomal RNA, 253 nt
Filed under: uncultured bacterium
Lineage: Bacteria
Description: partial 16S ribosomal RNA
Rfam family: Bacterial small subunit ribosomal RNA
Source: RNAcentral